RNAcentral lists this ribosomal RNA (427 nucleotides) under uncultured bacterium. RNAcentral's name for it is "partial 16S ribosomal RNA". It matches the Rfam family "Bacterial small subunit ribosomal RNA", at positions 355 to 774 of the family's 1533-position model. The record is from RNAcentral.
UGGGGAAUAUUGCACAAUGGGCGCAAGCCUGAUGCAGCCAUGCCGCGUGUAUGAAGAAGGCCUUCGGGUUGUAAAGUACUUUCAGCGGGGAGGAAGGCGAUAAGGUUAAUAACCUUGUCGAUUGACGUUACCCGCAGAAGAAGCACCGGCUAACUCCGUGCCAGCAGCCGCGGUAAUACGGAGGGUGCAAGCGUUAAUCGGAAUUACUGGGCGUAAAGCGCACGCAGGCGGUCUGUAAAGUCGGAUGUGAAAUCCCCGGGCUCAACCUGGGAACUGCAUUCGAAACUGGCAGGCUAGAGUCUUGUAGAGGGGGGUAGAAUUCCAGGUGUAGCGGUGAAAUGCGUAGAGAUCUGGAGGAAUACCGGUGGCGAAGGCGGCCCCCUGGACAAAGACUGACGCUCAGGUGCGAAAGCGUGGGGAGCAAACA